GUGGGGAAUAUUGGACAAUGGGCGAAAGCCUGAUCCAGCCAUGCCGCGUGUGUGAAGAAGGUCUUCGGAUUGUAAAGCACUUUAAGUCGGGAGGAAGGGCAGUAAGUUAAUACCUUGCUGUUUUGACGUUACCGACAGAAUAAGCACCGGCUAACUUCGUGCCAGCAGCCGCGGUAAUACGAAGGGUGCAAGCGUUAAUCGGAAUUACUGGGCGUAAAGCGCGCGUAGGUGGUUUUGUAAGUUGGAGGUGAAAUCCCCGGGCUCAACCUGGGAACUGCCUCCAAAACUGCAUGACUAGAGUACGGUAGAGGGUAGUGGAAUUUCCUGUGUAGCGGUGAAAUGCGUAGAUAUAGGAAGGAACACCAGUGGCGAAGGCGACUACCUGGACUGAUACUGACACUGAGGUGCGAAAGCGUGGGGAGCAAACAGGAUUAGAUACCCCGGUAGUCC
RNAcentral lists this ribosomal RNA (450 nucleotides) under uncultured bacterium. Its description in RNAcentral is "partial 16S ribosomal RNA". It matches the Rfam family "Bacterial small subunit ribosomal RNA", at positions 354 to 796 of the family's 1533-position model. The record is from RNAcentral.